GCAGCGCUGGAGCUGCGCGGCGUGACGCGCAUGUUCGGCGCGCUGGCGGCGCUGACCGACGUCACCAUCACCGUUCGGCCCGGCGAGCGGCGCGCC
Molecule: transfer RNA, 96 nt
Filed under: subsurface metagenome
Description: tRNA-Asn
Source: RNAcentral